This is a long non-coding RNA of Cyanistes caeruleus (blue tit), 1549 nucleotides long. The record is from Ensembl. NCBI's taxonomy places the organism in Eukaryota, Metazoa, Chordata, Aves, Passeriformes, Paridae.
UUGUGUCUCCAAAGGUAGUGAUAUACAUUACUGGAUUAAUUUUAUCUCCAAAAUAUAAGCAGUAAAGUUACAUCAAUUACUUGCUCUUUCAAAUUGAAUUCAGGGACUUCACAACUUCAUCCACAGUAACUGAGAAAACCCCAGUGAGCUUGUGCAUUAUAAUACAGGACAAUGCUGCCAAUUCCAAGUGUUAUGAGUUAUGUUUUUACUUAAAUUCCAGUAUUGGAGUCUGCUGUGCAAGACACGUCUACACCCGUCGUUGCUGACUGAAUCUUCACGUCAUGGCCUGUGUGUUCUGUGUAGUCCCUGAUAGUGCAACUCAGGGGAAAUACUAGCAGAGAGGCUGCAAGUAGUCUGUGGAUAACCUGUGAAGAUCCCCGAAGUUUUUCUGUGUGGGACUGACAUUAAUUUUGAGGAUUGGAAUGAGCACUGCAGAUAGAGCAAUGUGUUUUUCAGCUAAGAGGGUUUAACCUUCUUUGUCAAUGACAAAUGCUCAUGUAGAUGCACUAAGAGGAUAUUUGAGCUUGGAAAAGUUGGGAGGUACUCCGGGAUUUGUUUUUCACCUGCAAGCAAGCAGCACAGCUUUAAAGGGCUGUUUGAAGAUCUUCAACAGAUCGGAUCUGCUUUCUCUCCUCUCCCUUCUGCUCCCUCUUGCCAUGCCUGUGCUGACGGAACAGACCAGAAAGAGACCAGCUUGAUACAGACCACAGCAGUGCUACUUGGGGUUAAGCUGUCCUGCGUGAGAGCACAGAGAGCUCUCUUUAGAUGGUUUUUAGUGCAGUGAGGAUGGACAUCUGUGAUCAUCAUCAGCUGUGAGAAAACCCAGUCAAACCUCAUAACUCAAGAAUUAAGAUCAUAUCCUACUUUGGGCCUGCUGCUUGCCUCCCUUGUGGUUUUAGUGAAUCAAAGGAACUUGCAGUCUGUGUGGGCAAGGCUGGAAGAUAAGAGGCACAUACCUUCAGGAGGCGGUGUGUGCUACAGGAGGAGAGCUGUGUGUGUUUGCUGUUGGCACGUUCUCUGUGCCAUGGGUUGGUCAUUUUUCUGAGGCAGAAAUUAAGGGCAGAGGCUCACUUUUCUUAGGUGGGGUGUGAGAGAGCUGAACUUGUGCCAGCAGCCAGAAAUUACAAUUUAAAAAGUACUCUGGUGGUGGGUUUGAUUUUACUUCAACUCUUAGCAAGACAAGGGGUUUGGGUCUAUUAGGACUUCCUGGUAUUUUGUUUGUAACUCAUUGCAAAGCUCCUCAUCAGCCUUGAUCAGCAACCUGAGCUGGUGGAAGGUGUUCCUGCCCAUGGCAGGGGCUUGAAAUGAGAUCGUUUUUAGGUCCCUUCCAACCCAGACCAUUCUGUGAUUCCAUGGUUCUGUGUUGGAUUUGCAGUGUGCCUUUUGAAACAUGGGGCUCUUUCCCAGCCCCUGCUGUUCUCCUGCUGCCACGCUUUGUUCCUGUGCUCCCUGUGUGUGCCUGAUGGCACUGCCACCCCUCUCUGCCCUGCCACCAGGCUUCCUAAACACUCCCUCACGACUUUGUGGCUUUCCAGGUGCCUCUCUAGUU